Molecule: ribosomal RNA, 490 nt
Filed under: uncultured bacterium
Lineage: Bacteria
Description: partial 16S ribosomal RNA
Rfam family: Bacterial small subunit ribosomal RNA
Source: RNAcentral
AUUGAACGCUGGCGGCAUGCCUUACACAUGCAAGUCGAACGGCAGCAUGAUCUCGCUUGCUAGAUUGAUGGCGAGUGGCGAACGGGUGAGUAAUACAUCGGAACGUGCCCUGUAGUGGGGGAUAACUAGUCGAAAGAUUAGCUAAUACCGCAUACGACCUGAGGGUGAAAGUGGGGGACCGCAAGGCCUCAUGCUAUAGGAUCGGCCGAUGUCUGAUUAGCUAGCUGGUGAGGUACAGGCUCACCAAGGCGACGAUCAGUAGCUGGUCUGAGAGGACGAUCAGCCACACUGGGAGUGAGACACGGCCCAGACUCCUACGGGAGGCAGCAGUGGGGAAUUUUGCACAAUGGGCGGGAGCCUGAUCCAGCAAUGCCGCGUGUGUGAAGAAGGCCUUCGGGUUGUAAAGCACUUUUGUCCGUAAAGAAAUGGCUCUGGUUAAUACCUGGGGUCGAUGACGGUACCGGAAGAAUAAGGACCGGCUAACUACGUG